RNAcentral lists this transfer RNA (57 nucleotides) under Aclerda takahashii. Its description in RNAcentral is "tRNA-Gly". Lineage: Eukaryota; Metazoa; Arthropoda; Insecta; Hemiptera; Aclerdidae. The record is from RNAcentral.
AUUUUAUUAAUAUAAAUAAAUAUAUUUAAUUUCCAAUUAAAAAAUAAUUAUAAAAUU